GGGUUGUGAGGUUAAGCGACUAAGCGUACACGGUGGAUGCCCUGGCAGUCAGAGGCGAUGAAGGACGUGCUAAUCUGCGAUAAGCGUCGGUAAGGUGAUAUGAACCGUUAUAACCGGCGAUUUCCGAAUGGGGAAACCCAGUGUGAUUCGUCACACUAUCAUUAACUGAAUCCAUAGGUUAAUGAGGCGAACCGGGGGAACUGAAACAUCUAAGUACCCCGAGGAAAAGAAAUCAACCGAGAUUCCCCCAGUAGCGGCGAGCGAACGGGGAGCAGCCCAGAGCCUGAAUCAGUGUGUGUGUUAGUGGAAGCGUCUGGAAAGGCGCGCGAUACAGGGUGACAGCCCCGUACACAAAAAUGCACAUACUGUGAGCUCGAUGAGUAGGGCGGGACACGUGGUAUCCUGUCUGAAUAUGGGGGGACCAUCCUCCAAGGCUAAAUACUCCUGACUGACCGAUAGUGAACCAGUACCGUGAGGGAAAGGCGAAAAGAACCCCGGCGAGGGGAGUGAAAAAGAACCUGAAACCGUGUACGUACAAGCAGUGGGAGCACAGAGCAAUCUGUGUGACUGCGUACCUUUUGUAUAAUGGGUCAGCGACUUAUAUUCUGUAGCAAGGUUAACCGAAUAGGGGAGCCGAAGGGAAACCGAGUCUUAACUGGGCGUUAAGUUGCAGGGUAUAGACCCGAAACCCGGUGAUCUAGCCAUGGGCAGGUUGAAGGUUGGGUAACACUAACUGGAGGACCGAACCGACUAAUGUUGAAAAAUUAGCGGAUGACUUGUGGCUGGGGGUGAAAGGCCAAUCAAACCGGGAGAUAGCUGGUUCUCCCCGAAAGCUAUUUAGGUAGCGCCUCGUGAAUUCAUCUCCGGGGGUAGAGCACUGUUUCGGCAAGGGGGUCAUCCCGACUUACCAACCCGAUGCAAACUGCGAAUACCGGAGAAUGUUAUCACGGGAGACACACGGCGGGUGCUAACGUCCGUCGUGAAGAGGGAAACAACCCAGACCGCCAGCUAAGGUCCCAAAGUCAUGGUUAAGUGGGAAACGAUGUGGGAAGGCCCAGACAGCCAGGAUGUUGGCUUAGAAGCAGCCAUCAUUUAAAGAAAGCGUAAUAGCUCACUGGUCGAGUCGGCCUGCGCGGAAGAUGUAACGGGGCUAAACCAUGCACCGAAGCUGCGGCAGCGACGCUUAUGCGUUGUUGGGUAGGGGAGCGUUCUGUAAGCCUGUGAAGGUGUGCUGUGAGGCAUGCUGGAGGUAUCAGAAGUGCGAAUGCUGACAUAAGUAACGAUAAAGCGGGUGAAAAGCCCGCUCGCCGGAAGACCAAGGGUUCCUGUCCAACGUUAAUCGGGGCAGGGUGAGUCGACCCCUAAGGCGAGGCCGAAAGGCGUAGUCGAUGGGAAACAGGUUAAUAUUCCUGUACUUGGUGUUACUGCGAAGGGGGGACGGAGAAGGCUAUGUUGGCCGGGCGACGGUUGUCCCGGUUUAAGCGUGUAGGCUGGUUUUCCAGGCAAAUCCGGAAAAUCAAGGCUGAGGCGUGAUGACGAGGCACUACGGUGCUGAAGCAACAAAUGCCCUGCUUCCAGGAAAAGCCUCUAAGCAUCAGGUAACAUCAAAUCGUACCCCAAACCGACACAGGUGGUCAGGUAGAGAAUACCAAGGCGCUUGAGAGAACUCGGGUGAAGGAACUAGGCAAAAUGGUGCCGUAACUUCGGGAGAAGGCACGCUGAUAUGUAGGUGAAGUCCCUCGCGGAUGGAGCUGAAAUCAGUCGAAGAUACCAGCUGGCUGCAACUGUUUAUUAAAAACACAGCACUGUGCAAACACGAAAGUGGACGUAUACGGUGUGACGCCUGCCCGGUGCCGGAAGGUUAAUUGAUGGGGUCAGCGCAAGCGAAGCUCUUGAUCGAAGCCCCGGUAAACGGCGGCCGUAACUAUAACGGUCCUAAGGUAGCGAAAUUCCUUGUCGGGUAAGUUCCGACCUGCACGAAUGGCGUAAUGAUGGCCAGGCUGUCUCCACCCGAGACUCAGUGAAAUUGAACUCGCUGUGAAGAUGCAGUGUACCCGCGGCAAGACGGAAAGACCCCGUGAACCUUUACUAUAGCUUGACACUGAACAUUGAGCCUUGAUGUGUAGGAUAGGUGGGAGGCUUUGAAGUGUGGACGCCAGUCUGCAUGGAGCCGACCUUGAAAUACCACCCUUUAAUGUUUGAUGUUCUAACGUUGACCCGUAAUCCGGGUUGCGGACAGUGUCUGGUGGGUAGUUUGACUGGGGCGGUCUCCUCCUAAAGAGUAACGGAGGAGCACGAAGGUUGGCUAAUCCUGGUCGGACAUCAGGAGGUUAGUGCAAUGGCAUAAGCCAGCUUGACUGCGAGCGUGACGGCGCGAGCAGGUGCGAAAGCAGGUCAUAGUGAUCCGGUGGUUCUGAAUGGAAGGGCCAUCGCUCAACGGAUAAAAGGUACUCCGGGGAUAACAGGCUGAUACCGCCCAAGAGUUCAUAUCGACGGCGGUGUUUGGCACCUCGAUGUCGGCUCAUCACAUCCUGGGGCUGAAGUAGGUCCCAAGGGUAUGGCUGUUCGCCAUUUAAAGUGGUACGCGAGCUGGGUUUAGAACGUCGUGAGACAGUUCGGUCCCUAUCUGCCGUGGGCGCUGGAGAACUGAGGGGGGCUGCUCCUAGUACGAGAGGACCGGAGUGGACGCAUCACUGGUGUUCGGGUUGUCAUGCCAAUGGCACUGCCCGGUAGCUAAAUGCGGAAGAGAUAAGUGCUGAAAGCAUCUAAGCACGAAACUUGCCCCGAGAUGAGUUCUCCCUGACUCCUUGAGAGUCCUGAAGGAACGUUGAAGACGACGACGUUGAUAGGCCGGGUGUGUAAGCGCAGCGAUGCGUUGAGCUAACCGGUACUAAUGAACCGUGAGGCUUAACCUUACAACGCCGAAGGUGUUU
This 2933-nucleotide ribosomal RNA is filed under the name Escherichia coli. RNAcentral describes it as "bacterial LSU rRNA". It matches the Rfam family "Bacterial large subunit ribosomal RNA". Lineage: Bacteria; Pseudomonadati; Pseudomonadota; Gammaproteobacteria; Enterobacterales; Enterobacteriaceae. The record is from RNAcentral.